This 693-nucleotide long non-coding RNA is filed under the name Mytilus galloprovincialis (Mediterranean mussel). Lineage: Eukaryota; Metazoa; Mollusca; Bivalvia; Mytilida; Mytilidae. The record is from RNAcentral.
AAAAAUCUUGCUAUUGCACAAUAUUUUGCAAUUAGAUAUUUCUUGCUUACUAUUCUGGACAAAGAAAGAUAACUCUAAUUAAAAAAAAAUUUGCUAUUUCACAAUAUUGUGCAAUUAGAUAUUUCUUGCCGUUGCGCAAUACUGUGCAAUUGAAAAGACUUGCUAUUGCACAAUACUUAAUAUAAUAAUUUUAGAUCCUGAUUUGGACCAACUUGAAAACUGGGCCCAUAAUAAAAAAUCUAAGUACUUUUUUGGAUUCAGCAUAUCAAAGAACCCCAAGAUUUCAAUUUUUGUUAAAAUCAGACUAAGUUUAAUUUUGGACCCUUUGGACUUUAGUGUAGACCAAUUUGAAAACAGGACCAACCAGAUGCUCCGCAGGGCAAAGCUUUAUACGACCGCAGAGGUUGAACCCUGAACGGUUAGGGCAAGUAUGGACACAACAUUCAAGCUGGAUUCAGCUCUAAAUUUGGAUUGUGAUUAAAUAGUUGACACAGCAUAGGUUUCUGACACAGAAUGAAUGUGUUCUAAUGAACUUAAAAUUUUUGUUUCUCUUAGAGCUAUUCACUAUGCUGUUGAAUAUUAAUCCUCUCAAAAAAAUGUUUGAAGAAAUUUUCUUUUUUAUUUAUGAAAUUUCAAAUGAGAAAAAUUGAACCCAAUUUUUUUAAUCACAUCCCCCUUUCCCUUAUUCCAAAA